AAAAUAAAAACGCCUAAUUUCCAAAUGAAAACGGGGGAACCGUUCUUUUGGGGUGAACUACCAUUGGUAGCGGGCUAACUUUCGGUCCGAACCCGUCAGCUAACUCCGUAGGCGUAGAAAGUGGGGAAGG
This 130-nucleotide small RNA is filed under the name Desulforamulus putei. Its description in RNAcentral is "Desulfotomaculum putei c-di-AMP sequence". It matches the Rfam family "c-di-AMP riboswitch aptamer (ydaO/yuaA leader)". Rfam says of the family: This family represents a conserved RNA structure found upstream of the ydaO and yuaA genes in Bacillus subtilis and related genes in other bacteria. The ydaO/yuaA element is thought to act as a genetic "off" switch for the ydaO and yuaA genes in its native state. Lineage: Bacteria; Bacillati; Bacillota; Clostridia; Eubacteriales; Peptococcaceae. The record is from RNAcentral.